GUCUACAGCCAUACCACCCUGAAUGUGCCCAUUCUUGUCUGAUCUCAGAGGCUAAGGAGUGGGGCCUGGUUAGUACUUGGAUGGGAGAAGGGAAUUGUAUUUGUUGAGAGU
This 111-nucleotide ribosomal RNA is filed under the name Jaculus jaculus (lesser Egyptian jerboa). Lineage: Eukaryota; Metazoa; Chordata; Mammalia; Rodentia; Dipodidae. The record is from RNAcentral.